Molecule: ribosomal RNA, 286 nt
Filed under: uncultured bacterium
Lineage: Bacteria
Description: partial 16S ribosomal RNA
Rfam family: Bacterial small subunit ribosomal RNA
Source: RNAcentral
GAUGAACGCUAGCGGGAGGCUUAACACAUGCAAGUCGAGGGGCAGCAUAGGGUAGCAAUACUCUGAUGGCGACCGGCGCACGGGUGAGUAACGCGUAUGCAACCUACCCUUUACCGGGGGAUAGCUCGGAGAAAUCCGGAUUAAUACCCCAUGACAUUCCGGGGGCGCAUGUUUCCGGGAUUAAAACUACGGUGGUAAAGGAUGGGCAUGCGUAACAUUAGCUAGUUGGUGAGGUAACGGCUCACCAAGGCUACGAUGUUUAGGGGACCUGAGAGGGUGAUCCCCC